This 73-nucleotide transfer RNA is filed under the name Plasmodium gallinaceum. RNAcentral's name for it is "tRNA Cysteine". It matches the Rfam family "tRNA". Rfam says of the family: Transfer RNA (tRNA) molecules are approximately 80 nucleotides in length. Their secondary structure includes four short double-helical elements and three loops (D, anti-codon, and T loops). Lineage: Eukaryota; Apicomplexa; Aconoidasida; Haemosporida; Plasmodiidae. The record is from RNAcentral.
AAUGAUAUAACUUAAUUAGGUAAAGUUAAUAAUUGCAAAUUAUUGUAUUUCAGUUCAAAUCUGAAUAUCAUUU